GAAGCUGACCAGACAGUCGCCGCUUCGUCGUCGUGCUCCUUCGGGGGGAGACGGGCGGAGGGGAGGAAAGUCCGGGCUCCAUAGGGCAAGGUGCCAGGUAACGCCUGGGGGGUGUCACAGCCCACGACCAGUGCAACAGAGAGCAAACCGCCGAUGGCCCGCGCAAGCGGGAUCAGGUAAGGGUGAAAGGGUGCGGUAAGAGCGCACCGCGCGGCUGGUAACAGUCCGUGGCACGGUAAACUCCACCCGGAGCAAGGCCAAAUAGGGGUUCAUAAGGUACGGCCCGUACUGAACCCGGGUAGGCUGCUUGAGCCAGUGAGCGAUUGCUGGCCUAGAUGAAUGACUGUCCACGACAGAACCCGGCUUAUCGGUCAGUUUCACUC
This 383-nucleotide RNase P RNA is filed under the name Klebsiella quasipneumoniae subsp. similipneumoniae. RNAcentral describes it as "RNase P RNA component class A". It matches the Rfam family "Bacterial RNase P class A". From Rfam's summary of the family: Ribonuclease P (RNase P) is a ubiquitous endoribonuclease, found in archaea, bacteria and eukarya as well as chloroplasts and mitochondria. Its best characterised activity is the generation of mature 5'-ends of tRNAs by cleaving the 5'-leader elements of precursor-tRNAs. Cellular RNase Ps are ribonucleoproteins. RNAcentral also lists the same sequence under 1 other name. The record is from RNAcentral. Lineage: Bacteria; Pseudomonadati; Pseudomonadota; Gammaproteobacteria; Enterobacterales; Enterobacteriaceae.